CCUACGGGUGGCAGCAGUGAGGAAUAUUGGUCAAUGGACGAGAGUCUGAACCAGCCAAGUAGCGUGAAGGAUGACUGCCCUACGGGUUGUAAACUUCUUUUAUAAGGGAAUAAAAUGUUCCACGUGUGGGAUUUUGUAUGUACCAUAUGAAUAAGGAUCGGCUAACUCCGUGCCAGCAGCCGCGGUAAUACGGAGGAUCCGAGCGUUAUCCGGAUUUAUUGGGUUUAAAGGGAGCGUAGGUGGGUUGUUAAGUCAGUUGUGAAAGUUUGCGGCUCAACCGUAAAAUUGCAGUUGAAACUGGCAGUCUUGAGUACAGUAGAGGUAGGCGGAAUUCGUGGUGUAGCGGUGAAAUGCUUAGAUAUCACGAAGAACUCCGAUUGCGAAGGCAGUUCACUGAACUGCAACUGACACUGAGGCUCGAAAGUGUGGGUAUCAAACAGGAUUAGAUACCCUUGUAGUC
This 460-nucleotide ribosomal RNA is filed under the name uncultured bacterium. Its description in RNAcentral is "partial 16S ribosomal RNA". It matches the Rfam family "Bacterial small subunit ribosomal RNA", at positions 338 to 795 of the family's 1533-position model. The record is from RNAcentral.